This 253-nucleotide ribosomal RNA is filed under the name uncultured bacterium. RNAcentral describes it as "partial 16S ribosomal RNA". It matches the Rfam family "Bacterial small subunit ribosomal RNA", at positions 524 to 776 of the family's 1533-position model. The record is from RNAcentral.
UACGGGGGGGGCAAGCGUUGUUCGGAAUUACUGGGCGUAAAGGGCUCGUAGGCGGCCAACUAAGUCAUACGUGAAAUCCCUCGGCUUAACCGGGGAACUGCGUCUGAUACUGGAUGGCUUGAAUUCGGGAGAGGGAUGCGGAAUUCCAGGUGUAGCGGUGAAAUGCGUAGAUAUCUGGAGGAACACCGGUGGCGAAGGCGGCAACCUGGACCGAUACUGACGCUGAGGAGCGAAAGCCAGGGGAGCAAACGGG